Molecule: small RNA, 1098 nt
Filed under: uncultured bacterium
Lineage: Bacteria
Description: bacterial SSU rRNA
Rfam family: Bacterial small subunit ribosomal RNA (bases 1-482)
Source: RNAcentral
AUGGCUGUCGUCAGCUCGUGUCGUGAGAUGUUGGUUUAAGUACCGCAACGAGCGCAACCCCUGUGUCCUGUUGCCACGGAGAACACGUUUCUCCAGCACUCUGGACAGACUGCCCCAUUUUUAGUGGGGAGGAAGGUGGGGAUGACGUCAAGUCAGUAUGGCCCUUACGCCCAGGGCUGCACACGUGCUACAAUGCCUAGUACAAUGGGAAGCAAGACCGCGAGGUGGAGCCAAUCCCCAAAACUGGGCCCAGUUCGGAUUGGAGUCUGCAACUCGACUCCAUGAAGUUGGAAUCGCUAGUAACGGCGCAUCAGCUACGGCGCCGUGAAUACGUUCCCAGGCCUUGUACACACCGCCCGUCACAUCAUGAAAGCCGGGAGCACCCGAAGUCCGCGAUCACGUGGCCGAAGGUGAAUUUGGUAAUUGGGAUGAAGUCGUAACAAGGUAGCCGUAGGGGAACCUGCGGCUGGAUCACCUCCUUUCUAGGGAGUACUGCAUUCGUUUGCUUGCAAACGGAUCAGGAAGGUCGAACAUUUCCGAUAUAUUUAUAUAAAGGAAAUGCUGGCUGACGCUAUUGCACAAUUCAGUUUUUAAGGACAAAUAUAUGUUCUUUUGACAGGCAAACGGAUGAGGAAGACGAGCUUAUUUUGGCUUGGGACUUGGGGCUGUAGCUCAGCUGGUAGAGCACCUGCUUUGCAAGCAGGAAGUCAGGAGUUCGAAUCUCCUCAGCUCCACCAACUAAUAAACGGGCCUGUAGCUCAGUUGGUUAGAGCACGCGCUUGAUAAGCGCGGGGUCGCUGGUUCGAGUCCAGCCUGGCCCACCAUCCUUUUGCAUUUGAAUUUUGGCGGGGCUGCUUAUGAGGCGGCUCGGUCGUGGUUCUUUGAAAUCCUUGCAUGGACAUCAAGCCAUGCAACUUUGUUGGCGCCAUUAGAGUAUAUUUAAUGGUAACAAAUAAUAAUACAUUUGAUAAGCUACUAAGGGCACAAGGUGAAUGCCUUGGUGCUAGGAGGCGAUGAAGGACGUGGCUACCUGCGAUAAGCCAUCGGGAAGCUGGACACAAGCGUUAUACCCGUGGAUUUCCGAAUGGGGAAACCCGG